This 623-nucleotide ribosomal RNA is filed under the name Chromobacterium haemolyticum. RNAcentral's name for it is "bacterial SSU rRNA". It matches the Rfam family "Bacterial small subunit ribosomal RNA", at positions 104 to 719 of the family's 1533-position model. Lineage: Bacteria; Pseudomonadati; Pseudomonadota; Betaproteobacteria; Neisseriales; Chromobacteriaceae. The record is from RNAcentral.
GGGUGAGUAAUGCAUCGGAAUGUACCGUGUAAUGGGGGAUAGCUCGGCGAAAGCCGGAUUAAUACCGCAUACGCCCUGAGGGGGAAAGUGGGGGACCGUAAGGCCUCACGUUAUACGAGCAGCCGAUGUCUGAUUAGCUAGUUGGUGGGGUAAAGGCUCACCAAGGCGACGAUCAGUAGCGGGUCUGAGAGGAUGAUCCGCCACACUGGGACUGAGACACGGCCCAGACUCCUACGGGAGGCAGCAGUGGGGAAUUUUGGACAAUGGGCGCAAGCCUGAUCCAGCCAUGCCGCGUGUCUGAAGAAGGCCUUCGGGUUGUAAAGGACUUUUGUCCGGGAGCAAAUCCCAGUGGUUAACACCUACUGGGGCUGAGAGUACCGGAAGAAUAAGCACCGGCUAACUACGUGCCAGCAGCCGCGGUAAUACGUAGGGUGCAAGCGUUAAUCGGAAUUACUGGGCGUAAAGCGUGCGCAGGCGGUUGUGCAAGUCUGAUGUGAAAGCCCCGGGCUUAACCUGGGAACGGCAUUGGAGACUGCACGACUAGAGUGCGUCAGAGGGGGGUAGAAAUUCCGCGUGUAGCAGUGAAAAUGCGUAGAGAUGCGGGAGGAAUACCCGAUGGCGAA